UGAGAAACGGCUACCACAUCCAAGGAAGGCAGCAGGCGCGCAAAUUACCCAAUCCCGACACGGGGAGGUAGUGACAAUAAAUAACAAUACAGGGUUCUUUUGGAUCUUUGUAAUUUGAAUGAGUACAAUUUAAAUCUCUUAACGAGGAACAAUUGGAGGGCAAGUCUGGUGCCAGCAGCCGCGGUAAUUCCAGCUCCAAUAGCGUAUAUUAAAGUUGUUGCAGUUAAAAAGCUCGUAGUUGAAUUUCGGGAUCAAUGUUUCGGUCAUGCCGUUGGUAUGUACUGAUAUUAUUGAUUUCUCACCUUCUAAAGAACCGUAAUGCCAUUAAUUUGGUGUCACGGGGAAUUAGGACUGUUACCUUGAAAAAAUUAGAGUGUUUAAAGCAGGCUCACGCUUGAAUACAUUAGCAUGGAAUAAUGAAAUAGGACAUCCGAUUCUAUUUUGUUGGUUUCUAGGAUCGAUGUAAUGAUUAAUAGGGAUAGUUGGGGGCAUUAGUAUUCAAUUGUCAGAGGUGAAAUUCUUGGAUUUAUUGAAGACUAACUACUGCGAAAGCAUUUGCCAAGGAUGUUUUCAUUAAUCAAGAACGAAAGUUAGGGGAUCGAAGACGAUCAGAUACCGUCGUAGUCUUAACCAUAAACCUAUGCCGACUAGGGAUCGGAUGAUGUUAA
This 668-nucleotide ribosomal RNA is filed under the name Glomus sp. Its description in RNAcentral is "SSU rRNA". It matches the Rfam family "Eukaryotic small subunit ribosomal RNA", at positions 397 to 1066 of the family's 1831-position model. Lineage: Eukaryota; Fungi; Glomeromycota; Glomeromycetes; Glomerales; Glomeraceae. The record is from RNAcentral.